This 229-nucleotide long non-coding RNA is filed under the name Lathyrus oleraceus (garden pea). Its description in RNAcentral is "Pisum sativum (pea) long non-coding RNA (PSAT_LNC011608)". Lineage: Eukaryota; Viridiplantae; Streptophyta; Magnoliopsida; Fabales; Fabaceae. The record is from RNAcentral.
UGAAGUCUAUGAUGGGUGUGCUGUGUUUGAAGACUAUUCUGUUGUGGUUGAUGUUAUGGAAGUUGUUCCCCCUUGUUGUUUGGAAGCUGAAUUUUUUAUUGUUUUUUGUUUAAUUGUGUAAUUUGUGGCAGUCCUCAUUGAUGCCUGUUUGUAAUAUUUUGGGCUCUUAAUGAGUUCCAUGGAUUUGUUCAUUAUCUCAGCUAUCACAGUUGUGUAUAAUGUUGGUUUG